Molecule: ribosomal RNA, 1079 nt
Filed under: uncultured bacterium
Lineage: Bacteria
Description: bacterial SSU rRNA
Rfam family: Bacterial small subunit ribosomal RNA
Source: RNAcentral
CCCUGCUUUUGUGGGGUGCUCGAGUGGCGAACGGGUGAGUAACACGUGAGUAACCUGCCCUUGACUUUGGGAUAACUUCAGGAAACUGGGGCUAAUACCGGAUAGGAGCUCCUGCUGCAUGGUGGGGGUUGGAAAGUUUCGGCGGUUGGGGAUGGACUCGCGGCUUAUCAGCUUGUUGGUGGGGUAGUGGCUUACCAAGGCUUUGACGGGUAGCCGGCCUGAGAGGGUGACCGGCCACAUUGGGACUGAGAUACGGCCCAGACUCCUACGGGAGGCAGCAGUGGGGAAUAUUGCACAAUGGGCGGAAGCCUGAUGCAGCAACGCCGCGUGCGGGAUGACGGCCUUCGGGUUGUAAACCGCUUUCGCCUGUGACGAAGCGUGAGUGACGGUAAUGGGUAAAGAAGCACCGGCUAACUACGUGCCAGCAGCCGCGGUGAUACGUAGGGUGCGAGCGUUGUCCGGAUUUAUUGGGCGUAAAGGGCUCGUAGGUGGUUGAUCGCGUCGGAAGUGUAAUCUUGGGGCUUAACCCUGAGCGUGCUUUCAAUACGGGUUGACUUGAGGAAGGUAGGGGAGAAUGGAAUUCCUGGUGGAGCGGUGGAAUGCGCAGAUAUCAGGAGGAACACCAGUGGCGAAGGCGGUUCUCUGGGCCUUUCCUGACGCUGAGGAGCGAAAGCGUGGGGAGCGAACAGGCUUAGAUACCCUGGUAGUCCACGCUGUAAACGGUGGGUACUAGGUGUGGGGUCCAUUCCACGGGUUCCGUGCCGUAGCUAACGCUUUAAGUACCCCGCCUGGGGAGUACGGCCGCAAGGCUAAAACUCAAAGGAAUUGACGGGGCCCCGCACAAGCGGCGGAGCAUGCGGAUUAAUUCGAUGCAACGCGUAGAACCUUACCUGGGUUUGACAUGGAUCGGGAGUGCUCAGAGAUGGGUGUGCCUCUUUUGGGGUCGGUUCACAGGUGGUGCAUGGCUGUCGUCAGCUCGUGUCGUGAGAUGUUGGGUUAAGUCCCGCAACGAGCGCAACCCUUGUUCACUGUUGCCAGCACGUUAUGGUGGGGACUCAGUGGAGACCGCCGGGGUCAAC